Molecule: long non-coding RNA, 722 nt
Organism: Micropterus salmoides (largemouth bass)
Lineage: Eukaryota; Metazoa; Chordata; Actinopteri; Centrarchiformes; Centrarchidae
Exons: 2
Source: RefSeq, a predicted model, not a curated record
GGAUAGAGGUUGGGUGGCUGCAUUUCCAAAUGAUGACUUUCAUCAAGUGAGGUCCAAGAAUGGAGGAGGAACUAGGCAUCUGUCUCAGAUUCCUCAGAUGACAGUGAGAUGUACGAAAAGCAUCCCAAAAAACUCAGACGACCUGAUCAACAGAUCCAACUUUGGAUUCCCGCACUGCCACCCCAAGCAGCAGAACACUCAAGUCCAGUGCAACACUCGAUAGCAGAUGAUGUUGCAUCGUUGAGUCCAGUUCAGCAUGUCACACCCAUGUGCAACACAGGGAGUUAUUAUGACAAACUUCAACAGAGAUUUGGCUGAAGAUGGUGUUGAUGACCUUCCUACAACUCUUCUAUGGACAGAAGACCAUUCUGAUGAGACUGGUGCACAACCCCCAGAAGUAUAUGUGGUAAUAGAUUUUUGGUUAUAUUUAAAGUCUAACCUUAUUUGUAGCAUCAUAUAGGUUCAUGUUUUUGUUUUGUUUGUUUUCAUUCCCAUUUUAUAUUCAUGUAAUAUUUCCGCAAAGCCACCAAAUAAGCUCUCAUCGCUCUCAAGCUCAUCGUUACGUAUGUCCGUAUUCAUAUUUCUUUGCUGGACUUUGACAUGACAUAUCUUGAUAUACACAGAUCCAAACAUUGACACAAUGAAUGUUUGUAUACUUGACAUUGGUAUAAUCCUGCAGUAUUAAAAAACUAAAACUGUCCCUGACAGUAUUGGUCAAGAUA